Syngnathus typhle (broad-nosed pipefish) is the source of this 1416-nucleotide long non-coding RNA. RefSeq lists it as uncharacterized. NCBI's taxonomy places the organism in Eukaryota, Metazoa, Chordata, Actinopteri, Syngnathiformes, Syngnathidae. The transcript is spliced from 2 exons. The record is from RefSeq and is a predicted model, not a curated record.
AUUUCACUCGAAUGUAACUGAUGUAUAUGCUCAUAUCUUUGGUGAAGCUCUGAACAAUGGUGUGUAGAAAUUCAUCAAAAGUUGCGCGAGAGUCCCUCCAGUUGUUCUAAUCCAACACAAGUGCAACAAAAUAUAAAGUAAUGAGCAUCUGAACAUUUUUUUCCAUGUGAAAUCUCAAUUCCUGAAAAAAUCCGAUGCUGGUGCCACAUUUCAGCUGUAAUUGCUGCUUUAAUAAGCGUGCUCUCAAAUUUGCAAAUCUUAAAUCAUAGAAAUGAUCAAUUCCCCAUUCCAAAUUGGUCCAUUUUACAACAACCGAGCAAAAAUUAACAUUGGGGUUUAAAAAAGAGGUGUUGUUCUGUGCAACCUGAAGGCAAAAGAUACUAAACAUUGACGAGUGAAAACUAUAGAUGAGAGCAGAAGCGAAAGUAAGAGUAGCAAAAAGCGCAAAUUGAAAAUUAAUGCGGAACUAAUAAAAAUGUAUUUGUGUAUAUAUACAAGCCCAGCAAAUGGUAUAAUAUAAGAUUUUUCUUUAUUUCUCCCACCCAGGGAAAUUCCAGAAAUGCAAAUGCGAUAGUGUGGCUUGUUUCACACCUUACUCACUCUUUUAUCUUUAAAUCACAAACCAGCGGUAUGGUGACUGAAAGGGACAAGAAGACCUCAAUACUUUACAGGCUCUCUGGUUAGGGGGCCACACAAGGUGCUGGCAGCUUACGGUCCCUGACAGAAUCCAUACUACAAGUCUGAAUUUAGACUUGCACGCCUUCACUGGACAGUCGUAACAUGUUGUACCGCAACAGGCCAGGGCUGCACAAAUGGAUAUCGAAAGAAAGGUGUGAUUUGUGACCCAAGAAAGAGUGAAGCAGAAAGUCUACAUCUAAGGCCGUGGUGCGGCUGAGAGACCAAGGGUGUAUUCAGACCAGAAAAGUCAUUUCAUUUGGUGCGGUUCCUAUUCAGACUGUACAUUUUGUAAUUGAAGUACAUAUAUCCACGCUUAUGACCAUCUGUGCUCCCAUUGGACAGCAAUGACCAGGGCGGCACACAGCGCACAGACCCGGAAUGAAAGAAAACGUGCGAGUCCUACACGCUGCAUUCAUGGUCUGCAUGUUUGUGCUUUGGUUUCGGAUCCACGCUGUUUCUAUUCACACCUGAAGCGAACCGAGAGCACCUGAAAAAGUGGGUCUUGGUCCGUUCCUUUAAUCCACACCAGGAUUCGUUUGCCUGCACAAAAGGUCCAAACCAGCGUUACAAUCGAACCCUGGUCCGUUUAAAGUGGACCAAACAGUCAGGUCUGAAUACACCCUUAGAAAAAGAUAGGAGGCGGAGCUGGAGGUGGCAGAGAUGAAAAAGUUCAGAUUCGCUGUCACCGCUCAGGUGGGGCAGUUUGAAUACAGUCAGAGAGGUGAAAUUUAGAAGGCU